GGGCCUCGGAGUUAACUCCAACCCCUGUGACAUACCACUUGUUGCCUCGGCGGAUCAGCCCGCUCCCGGUAAAACGGGACGGCCCGCCAGAGGACCCCUAAACUCUGUUUCUAUAUGUAACUUCUGAGUAAAACCAUAAAUAAAUCAAAACUUUCAACAACGGAUCUCUUGGUUCUGGCAUCGAUGAAGAACGCAGCAAAAUGCGAUAAGUAAUGUGAAUUGCAGAAUUCAGUGAAUCAUCGAAUCUUUGAACGCACAUUGCGCCCGCCAGUAUUCUGGCGGGCAUGCCUGUUCGAGCGUCAUUUCAACCCUCAAGCACAGCUUGGUGUUGGGACUCGCGUUAAUUCGCGUUCCUCAAAUUGAUUGGCGGUCACGUCGAGCUUCCAUAGCGUAGUAGUAAAACCCUCGUUACUGGUAAUCGUCGCGGCCACGCCGUUAAACCCCAACUUCUGAAUGUUGACCUCGGAUCAGGUAGGAAUACCCGCUGAACUUAAGCAUAUCAAA
RNAcentral lists this ribosomal RNA (504 nucleotides) under Fusarium oxysporum. RNAcentral's name for it is "eukaryotic LSU rRNA". The stretch from base 149 to 302 matches the Rfam family "5.8S ribosomal RNA". The record is from RNAcentral. Lineage: Eukaryota; Fungi; Ascomycota; Sordariomycetes; Hypocreales; Nectriaceae.